GUCGAGAAGCUUCGGCAAUGGGCGAAAGCCUGACCGAGCGACGCCGCGUGAGCGAUGAAGGCCCUAUGGGUUGUAAAGCUCUGUCAGAUUGGGACGAAAACUUCGAGGUUAAUACCCCCGAAGCUUGACGGUACCAUCAGAGGAAGCACCGGCUAACUCCGUGCCAGCAGCCGCGGUAAUACGGAGGGUGCAAGCGUUGUUCGGAUUCACUGGGUAUAAAGGGUGCGUAGGCGGCGCGAUAAGUCAGGGGUGAAAUAUGUCGGCUCAACCGACAAACUGCCUCUGAAACUGCCGCGCUUGAGGUCGGGAGAGGAAGGUGGAAUUCCAGGUGUAGCGGUGAAAUGCGUAAAUAUCUGGAGGAACACCAAUGGCGAAGGCAGCCUUCUGGUCCGAUUCUGACGCUGAGGCACGAAAGCUAGGGGAGCAAACGGGAUUAGAAACCCUAGUAGUCC
RNAcentral lists this ribosomal RNA (452 nucleotides) under uncultured bacterium. Its description in RNAcentral is "bacterial SSU rRNA". It matches the Rfam family "Bacterial small subunit ribosomal RNA", at positions 354 to 796 of the family's 1533-position model. The record is from RNAcentral.